AGCAGUGAGGAAGGCGGAGUCGUUAAUAGCGGCCUCGUUUGUACGUUAGCUGCAGAAGAAGCACCGGCUAACUCCGUGCCAGCAGCCGCGGUAAUACGGAGGGUGCGAGCGUUAAUCGGAAUUACUGGGCGUAAAGCGCAUGCAGGUGGUUUGUUUAAGUCAGAUGUGAAAGCCCGGGGCUCAACCUCGGAAUUGCAUUUGAAACUGGCAGACUAGAGUACUGUAGAGGGGGUAGAAUUUCAGGUGUAGCGGUGAAAUGCGUAGAGAUCUGAAGGAAUACCGGUGGCGAAGGCGGCCCCCUGGACAGAUACUGACACUCAGAUGCGAAAGCGUGGGGAGCAAACAGGAUUAGAUACCCUGGUAG
This 364-nucleotide ribosomal RNA is filed under the name uncultured bacterium. RNAcentral describes it as "bacterial SSU rRNA". It matches the Rfam family "Bacterial small subunit ribosomal RNA", at positions 438 to 793 of the family's 1533-position model. The record is from RNAcentral.